AGAUUGAACGCUGGCGGCAUGCUUUACACAUGCAAGUCGAACGGUAACAGGCCGCAAGGUGCUGACGAGUGGCGAACGGGUGAGUAAUGCAUCGGAACGUGCCCAGUCGUGGGGGGAUAACGCAGCGAAAGCUGUGCUAAUACCGCAUACGAUCUAUGGAUGAAAGCGGGGGACCGAAAGGCCUCGCGCGAUUGGAGCGGCCGAUGUCAGAUUAGCUAGUUGGUGGGGUAAAGGCCCACAAGGCGACGAUCUGUAGCUGGUCUGAGAGGACGACCAGCCACACUGGAACUGAGACACGGUCCAGACUCCUACGGGAGGCAGCAGUGGGAAUUUUGGACAAUGGGCGCAAGCCUGAUCCAGCAAUCGCCGCGUGCAGGAAGAAGGCCUUGGGUUGUAAACUGUCUUUGUACGGAACGUAAACGGUCGUUAGGUUAACUACCGUACGGGUACUAAGUAGAACGGUACGUAAAGAAUAACGACACGGUACUAACUACGUCG
This 498-nucleotide ribosomal RNA is filed under the name uncultured soil bacterium. RNAcentral describes it as "bacterial SSU rRNA". It matches the Rfam family "Bacterial small subunit ribosomal RNA", at positions 26 to 508 of the family's 1533-position model. The record is from RNAcentral.